GCGAGUGAAGCGGGAAGAGCUCAAAUUUGUAAUCUGGCACUUUCAGUGUCCGAGUUGUAAUCUCGAGAAGUGUUUUCCGCGCUGGACCGCAUACAAGUCUGUUGGAAUACAGCGUCAUAGUGGUGAGAACCCCGUAACUGAUGCGGAUGUCCAGUGCUUUGUGAUACACUUUCGAAGAGUCGAGUUGUUUGGGAAUGCAGCUCAAAUUGGGUGGUAAAUUCCAUCUAAAGCUAAAUAUUGGCGAGAGACCGAUAGCGAACAAGUACCGUGAGGGAAAGAUGAAAAGCACUUUGGAAAGAGAGUUAACAGUACGUGAAAUUGUUGGAAGGGAAACGCUUGAAGUCAGACUUGCUAUGUGGAUUUAUUCACUUCGCAGGCCAGCAUCAGUUUCUGGGGGUGGAAAAGGGUUUGGAGAAGGUAGCAACUCCGGUUGUGUUAUAGCUCCUUGCUGGAUUCAUCUUUGGGGACUGAGGAACGCAGCGCGCUUUUUGCAAGGCUCUCGAGCUUUUCGCGCUUAGGAUGCUGGUGGAAUGGCUUUAAACGACCC
Molecule: ribosomal RNA, 547 nt
Filed under: Rhodotorula sp. LCF-17
Lineage: Eukaryota; Fungi; Basidiomycota; Microbotryomycetes; Sporidiobolales; Sporidiobolaceae
Description: eukaryotic LSU rRNA
Rfam family: Eukaryotic large subunit ribosomal RNA
Source: RNAcentral